GAGUAUUCAUGUCAUUACAAAUACAAAGCUGUAAAGCAAUGGGCUGCAAAUUUGAUGUUUUUCUUAGCCUCUCCAAAGUGGGAAGACUCAUUGGCCGAGUGUCAAUCCAGCAUGAAAAAAAUUGUUCUAAAAUGACUUUCUUUCGGGGUGUAGACAUAUUUUCUUCCAUCGUCUUCUGCCUCUACAUAAUUCUCACAAAAUAAAGAGUCAUACUGAACACAUGCCGUACCUGUUUUACAACCUAGAAAAUACUAAAACACCAUACUGGUUAUGGAAUUUCCACCUUCAGACGCAUCUAACUAACGAUCCGAAUAUGAGUUUAAAAGAUUAUGUCAAAUAAUAUCUCUUUACCUCAGUGACUCUUGAAAAAACAAGGUAAUGAACGAAGAAUUUGGGUACACCGUCCAGAUAUCCAUCCAUUCCGUUUAUUAUGCUAGAAUCGUGAAACCUAAGCGGUAGAAGACCAAAAAAAAAAAAAGAAAUUUAAAGCAUCUACAGUUUG
Molecule: long non-coding RNA, 502 nt
Filed under: Phoenix dactylifera (date palm)
Lineage: Eukaryota; Viridiplantae; Streptophyta; Magnoliopsida; Arecales; Arecaceae
Description: long non-coding RNA (PDAC_LNC022993)
Source: RNAcentral